AUAUUGGACAAUGGGUGAAAGCCUGAUCCAGCCAUCCCGCGUGAAGGAUGACGGUCCUAUGGAUUGUAAACUUCUUUUGUAUAGGGGUAAACCUAGAUACGUGUAUCUAGCUGAAGGUACUAUACGAAUAAGCACCGGCUAACUCCGUGCCAGCAGCCGCGGUAAUACGGCGGGUGCAAGCGUUAUCCGGAUUUAUUGGGUUUAAAGGGUCCGUAGGCGGACCGAUAAGUCAGUGGUGAAAUCUCAUAGCUUAACUAUGAAACUGCCAUUGAUACUGUCGGUCUUGAGUAAAUUAGAGGUAGCUGGAAUAAGUAGUGUAGCGGUGAAAUGCAUAGAUAUUACUUAGAACACCAAUUGCGAAGGCAGGUUACCAUGAUUUAACUGACGCUGAGGGACGAAAGCGUGGGUAGCGAAC
This 415-nucleotide ribosomal RNA is filed under the name uncultured bacterium. Its description in RNAcentral is "bacterial SSU rRNA". It matches the Rfam family "Bacterial small subunit ribosomal RNA", at positions 361 to 773 of the family's 1533-position model. The record is from RNAcentral.